RNAcentral lists this long non-coding RNA (420 nucleotides) under Panax ginseng (ginseng). RNAcentral's name for it is "long non-coding RNA (PGIN_LNC009036)". The record is from RNAcentral. Lineage: Eukaryota; Viridiplantae; Streptophyta; Magnoliopsida; Apiales; Araliaceae.
GUUAAUUUCAAAAUAUGGUUAUACAAGUGUCCUCAGUUGGAUAAUCAUUGUAUUUAAACACAUGUUGAUAUAUACCUAUUGAUCCCCCGCAUGUAUACAUUAAGUAAAAGCCGUCUAAGCUAUUUGACCAGCUAGACACAGAUUCAAAAUAUCGUUGAAUAUGAUAAAACCUUUUUGUAUCCAAUCAAAUUAUUUUGGUUCGGAUUCCUGACUAAGUAUGAACAUCCCGAUCAAGGGAAAACUUUUAUGCGCCCAAGGCGGACGGUGUGAACGAUAAUAUCGUUCUUGUAUGUAGUAUUGAUCAAUACAGGGCCCAUGGGAUGUACACCCUCGCGCUCGUAAGUUAUGACGGUUUGCAGAUGAAGUUCUGCUAAACCUUUUCAAAAAUUAAAAACAAUGUUCAUAGUAUGUCACCUUAAC